Molecule: ribosomal RNA, 269 nt
Filed under: uncultured bacterium
Lineage: Bacteria
Description: partial 16S ribosomal RNA
Rfam family: Bacterial small subunit ribosomal RNA
Source: RNAcentral
AACAUGCCCCAAAGUGAGGAAUAACUGCCCGAAAGGGUAGCUAAUGCCGCAUAUGAUCUUCGGAUUAAAGGAUUUAUCCGCUUUGGGAGUGGCCCGCGUACGAUUAGGUAGUUGGUGAGGUAAAGGCUCACCAAGCCCACGAUCGUUAACUGGUCUGAGAGGAUGAUCAGUCAGACUGGAACUGAGACACGGUCCAGACUCCUACGGGAGGCAGCAGUGAGGAAUCUUCCACAAUGGGCGAAAGCCUGAUGGAGCGACGCCGCGUGCAG